GGUUUAUUGGUAUAUGGGUAUUACGCUUGCCUGUCACGCAAGAAAAACGAGUUCGAGUCUCGUAUAGACCGCCA
This 74-nucleotide transfer RNA is filed under the name Bacillus cereus. RNAcentral's name for it is "tRNA-Asp". It matches the Rfam family "tRNA". From Rfam's summary of the family: Transfer RNA (tRNA) molecules are approximately 80 nucleotides in length. Their secondary structure includes four short double-helical elements and three loops (D, anti-codon, and T loops). Further hydrogen bonds mediate the characteristic L-shaped molecular structure. tRNAs have two regions of fundamental functional importance: the anti-codon, which is responsible for specific mRNA codon recognition, and the 3' end, to which the tRNAs corresponding amino acid is attached (by aminoacyl-tRNA synthetases). tRNAs cope with the degeneracy of the genetic code in two manners: having more than one tRNA (with a specific anti-codon) for a particular amino acid; and 'wobble' base-pairing, i.e. permitting non-standard base-pairing at the 3rd anti-codon position. RNAcentral also lists the same sequence under 3 other names. Lineage: Bacteria; Bacillati; Bacillota; Bacilli; Caryophanales; Bacillaceae. The record is from RNAcentral.